CGCCUGUAUGUCUGAGGCUGGGUUUGAAGCCUCCAGCGUGUUUGGAGUUAAUCCCCAUUAGGUUGGACUCCGCCCCUUUCUCCCAAAGGUAAAGCAAGGUUUUCAGGCAUCACUGCAAAGGGCAGCUAGUAUUUCCAUCCUUGUCUAACAAGCUGUGAGGAGAAGUUGUUUCUGAGAUCUGAGCCUGAAGAGAGGGAACAAGUCAGGCAGCCUUCGUGGUCAGAAGAUGAAAAAGGUGGAAGAUAAAAUAAUUUAAGAAGUCCUGUUUUGUCUAGCAUAGGGGAAAAGAGAACACAGCUUUGUACCUGUCGGCUUGGCUGGGCCUAUUACUGUGCUGGAGGUGGAGCAGCUGCAGCCAUGUUGAUCUGCACCUGGCUCUCCUGCUUUGCUGGAAGAAACCCCAAGCCAGUCAUAUUGGUGGAGAGCAUCAUGAGGAAUACCAAUUCUUAUGCUAUGGAGCUUGACCAUUGCCUCAAACCUUGAGCUUUGAAAGAGGAUUGGAGAGGGUGGGAAAGGGGAGGAGGGAGCCCUGAAAAGAGGUACUAAGGAUUAGGCCAUUUGUCAUCUGUCAUUAGUGUAGCCUAGUGUUUGCAUGCGUUUCAAACUAAUUGUCGUUCAUUUUCAC
This 625-nucleotide small RNA is filed under the name Pongo abelii (Sumatran orangutan). Its description in RNAcentral is "processed transcript". The record is from RNAcentral. Lineage: Eukaryota; Metazoa; Chordata; Mammalia; Primates; Hominidae.